Molecule: transfer RNA, 68 nt
Filed under: uncultured Stomatobaculum sp.
Lineage: Bacteria; Bacillati; Bacillota; Clostridia; Lachnospirales; Lachnospiraceae
Rfam family: tRNA
About the family: Transfer RNA (tRNA) molecules are approximately 80 nucleotides in length. Their secondary structure includes four short double-helical elements and three loops (D, anti-codon, and T loops).
Source: RNAcentral
CAGAUGUGGUUCAAUGGCAGAACACAAGCUUCCCAAGCUUGUGACGCGGGUUCGAUUCCCGUCAUCUG